UGACAAAAAGGGUACAAGCCUUUCUUUGG
This 29-nucleotide non-coding RNA is filed under the name Rattus norvegicus (Norway rat). The record is from RNAcentral. Lineage: Eukaryota; Metazoa; Chordata; Mammalia; Rodentia; Muridae.